Molecule: ribosomal RNA, 2158 nt
Filed under: Staphylococcus aureus
Lineage: Bacteria; Bacillati; Bacillota; Bacilli; Caryophanales; Staphylococcaceae
Description: partial 23S ribosomal RNA
Rfam family: Bacterial large subunit ribosomal RNA
Source: RNAcentral
UGGAGGACCGAACCGACUUACGUUGAAAAGUGAGCGGAUGAACUGAGGGUAGCGGAGAAAUUCCAAUCGAACCUGGAGAUAGCUGGUUCUCUCCGAAAUAGCUUUAGGGCUAGCCUCAAGUGAUGAUUAUUGGAGGUAGAGCACUGUUUGGACGAGGGGCCCCUCUCGGGUUACCGAAUUCAGACAAACUCCGAAUGCCAAUUAAUUUAACUUGGGAGUCAGAACAUGGGUGAUAAGGUCCGUGUUCGAAAGGGAAACAGCCCAGACCACCAGCUAAGGUCCCAAAAUAUAUGUUAAGUGGAAAAGGAUGUGGCGUUGCCCAGACAACUAGGAUGUUGGCUUAGAAGCAGCCAUCAUUUAAAGAGUGCGUAAUAGCUCACUAGUCGAGUGACACUGCGCCGAAAAUGUACCGGGGCUAAACAUAUUACCGAAGCUGUGGAUUGUCCUUUGGACAAUGGUAGGAGAGCGUUCUAAGGGCGUUGAAGCAUGAUCGCAAGGACAUGUGGAGCGCUUAGAAGUGAGGAUGCCGGUGUGAGUAGCGAAAGACGGGUGAGAAUCCCGUCCACCGAUUGACUAAGGUUUCCAGAGGAAGGCUCGUCCGCUCUGGGUUAGUCGGGUCCUAAGCUGAGGCCGACAGGCGUAGGCGAUGGAUAACAGGUUGAUAUUCCUGUACCACCUAUAAUCGUUUUAAUCGAUGGGGGGACGCAGUAGGAUAGGCGAAGCGUGCGAUUGGAUUGCACGUCUAAGCAGUAAGGCUGAGUAUUAGGCAAAUCCGGUACUCGUUAAGGCUGAGCUGUGAUGGGGAGAAGACAUUGUGUCUUCGAGUCGUUGAUUUCACACUGCCGAGAAAAGCCUCUAGAUAGAAAAUAGGUGCCCGUACCGCAAACCGACACAGGUAGUCAAGAUGAGAAUUCUAAGGUGAGCGAGCGAACUCUCGUUAAGGAACUCGGCAAAAUGACCCCGUAACUUCGGGAGAAGGGGUGCUCUUUAGGGUUAACGCCCAGAAGAGCCGCAGUGAAUAGGCCCAAGCGACUGUUUAUCAAAAACACAGGUCUCUGCUAAACCGUAAGGUGAUGUAUAGGGGCUGACGCCUGCCCGGUGCUGGAAGGUUAAGAGGAGUGGUUAGCUUCUGCGAAGCUACGAAUCGAAGCCCCAGUAAACGGCGGCCGUAACUAUAACGGUCCUAAGGUAGCGAAAUUCCUUGUCGGGUAAGUUCCGACCCGCACGAAAGGCGUAACGAUUUGGGCACUGUCUCAACGAGAGACUCGGUGAAAUCAUAGUACCUGUGAAGAUGCAGGUUACCCGCGACAGGACGGAAAGACCCCGUGGAGCUUUACUGUAGCCUGAUAUUGAAAUUCGGCACAGCUUGUACAGGAUAGGUAGGAGCCUUUGAAACGUGAGCGCUAGCUUACGUGGAGGCGCUGGUGGGAUACUACCCUAGCUGUGUUGGCUUUCUAACCCGCACCACUUAUCGUGGUGGGAGACAGUGUCAGGCGGGCAGUUUGACUGGGGCGGUCGCCUCCUAAAAGGUAACGGAGGCGCUCAAAGGUUUCCUCAGAAUGGUUGGAAAUCAUUCAUAGAGUGUAAAGGCAUAAGGGAGCUUGACUGCGAGACCUACAAGUCGAGCAGGGUCGAAAGACGGACUUAGUGAUCCGGUGGUUCCGCAUGGAAGGGCCAUCGCUCAACGGAUAAAAGCUACCCCGGGGAUAACAGGCUUAUCUCCCCCAAGAGUUCACAUCGACGGGGAGGUUUGGCACCUCGAUGUCGGCUCAUCGCAUCCUGGGGCUGUAGUCGGUCCCAAGGGUUGGGCUGUUCGCCCAUUAAAGCGGUACGCGAGCUGGGUUCAGAACGUCGUGAGACAGUUCGGUCCCUAUCCGUCGUGGGCGUAGGAAAUUUGAGAGGAGCUGUCCUUAGUACGAGAGGACCGGGAUGGACAUACCUCUGGUGUACCAGUUGUCGUGCCAACGGCAUAGCUGGGUAGCUAUGUGUGGACGGGAUAAGUGCUGAAAGCAUCUAAGCAUGAAGCCCCCCUCAAGAUGAGAUUUCCCAACUUCGGUUAUAAGAUCCCUCAAAGAUGAUGAGGUUAAUAGGUUCGAGGUGGAAGCAUGGUGACAUGUGGAGCUGACGAAUACUAAUCGAUCGAAGACUUAAUCAAAUU